Long non-coding RNA from Hemicordylus capensis (graceful crag lizard), 2862 nucleotides. RefSeq lists it as uncharacterized. The transcript is spliced from 7 exons. NCBI's taxonomy places the organism in Eukaryota, Metazoa, Chordata, Lepidosauria, Squamata, Cordylidae. The record is from RefSeq and is a predicted model, not a curated record.
CGCAUUCUCAACUGUGAUCUUCAUGUCUCCCUUGCUCUCAGUUUUCUGGAGGUGGCUAAAGACUACUCCUUAAUACCCAGACUUUUGAUAGUACAGCACAGAACAUCUCGCAUUCAGAGUAUGCAGUGCCUUUCCCAACUGUGAGUCCGGAUUCUGGAAAAAGAAGCCAGCUCUCCAUGCUGUCAUCCGCAGUGUUCUUACAUCUGAAUGCUGGACCGCUCCACUGUCUCGCAUCAAGAGAUCUGGAUGCAGUGAGAAUCUGUGGAAAGUACCCCUCAAGAGUUUGAGAAGUGGUGCAAAUCAUGGCUGGCGAGGCCACCACAUCAGAAUACCAGUUGUCUUCUCCCACAUGAUCUGUGCCAGCAUACAGUUGAUAAGUGGCUGUGGUGGAAACAGGUUCGACUUCUCCCAGUUGACGUUGAUGCCAAGAUCCUGCAGCUACUGUAAUACAAAGCAGAUCUGCGAAAGUAACCUUCCUUUGUCGUCCUCUACCAGAAGCCAGUCUAAAUAUAGAUACACCACAACGCCCUCCAUCCAUAAGUGUGCCACCACUACUGCCAUAGCUUUUGUAAACACAUGCGGGGCUGUUGAUAACCCAAAAGGGAGAACCCACUGUAAACCACAGGUGUCGUAUGGCGGCAUCCUGACUUAGAUGUAGACUCACAAUCAAUGACUAAUGAGUUCGGCACCGGGUGCCACAAGAGGUGAGGGAGAAGAGCAACCAGACCCUGAGGAGUCUGAAAUAAAAGGAAGAGACGGUCGAGGGGGAGGGGGCUUGCACCUCCUGUUCAAAUGCUGGCUUUCCAGAGUGGUAGUUAUCACAGAGCGUUGGAAACAAUUAACAGCAAGGAAGAUGUAUUCAGUUGAAGGCAUCUUUAACUUCAGGGAGCAAUGGCCCAGAAACUAGAAAGGGAACUGAAAAGAUCAAAAUACAGUUCUGGGAUCAGAAUCAGCAGUGCUUUUGUUCACCACUUCAUAUCUGGAAGAUCUGAAUCAGCUCUUGUACAACAGGUCACAGCAUUCUACUUCCUCAACAAUGAACUUGAAGUAGAGCGAAGGAGCUAUCCCAGACCUCAGAUGUCAUAAGUCUGCUAGCAUCAAGAUGCAGAAAUAGUUUCAGAAUGAUAGUAUCUAAAUUUGCACAGCUAUGAUAGCCUGCUGCAGCAAAAACAUGGUAAUCAUAUUAGUCUGCUGCAGCAAACAACAAAUAGUCUUGUGGCAUUUUAAAGAUGAACACAUUUAUAAUAGCAUAAGCUUUCUUAGACUUCAGUGCACUUUAAGUGUCUGAUGAAGCAGGCUGUAGUCUAUAAAAGCUGGUGCUACAAUAAAGUUGUUAGUCUAAACUGUCUCCAGACCAUUUGGUAUCUACUCUUGAGGCUCUUUAAAAAAAAUCACUAUAUUUGACAGUCAGAGAGUGUUUUUGAAGUCACUGUCCAGUUCUAUAGAAACUAAAGUUGCAAGUCACAAAUUAUUAUUCCAAGUAGUCUCAUAGGGCUGGUUCAGACAUCAUGUAGCCUCAGAAUCACAUGCUACCCCCUCCCCUUCAUGCAUGAGCUGUGGAAUAAUUCUAUCACCAAUUGUGGUUGCAAACAAGUGAGGAUUGGUGUAACAUCCAAGCCAAUGAAUCCCGGCUUAUUCUAACAAGAGGUCUCCCAGACCACGGACUGAACCCAGCAUCAAACCUUGAGUUCAGGUUGUGAUUCAUCUUAAAGCCUCUGGUUAGAAUAAGGCUGUUCAGACAUCAUAACCAAUCCUAGCUUAUUUUUAACCAUAACUGUAACUGGUAGUAAAUUCUUCCACGGCUUGCACACAAACGGGAGGGAGGAGCAUGUGUUUCUGAGGCUCUGAGACAUUGCCUGAAGCCAAAGUUUAAUCUUGGCUUUGCAUAACAUCUAAAAGGGCCCAGAGAUUCAAUUUAGAGCAUUUCAGCAAUCCACAAUAUAUAAAUAUUUGGGUCCAGUAAAAGCUAUCCUCACUCCUACUCAACUUCUUUCUAGAAAUAGAUUAUGUGGCUGCCCUGCCCUCAAGGGCUGUAACGUAAGAAUUCUCUUACCUUUCAAGUUCUUUCGGUUUAAACUUCCACCAGGUAUCUGGUUCACGAAAUAUAACUUUAUACUUGUGUUGCUGUGACUGAAUAAAAGUGCCAAACACAAACAUGACAUUAUUCUACCUUUAUAACCAACAAAAAACCGAUAAUAUUGCCAAUUUUAAAAGUAAUAUCAAGUCUUACUUUGGAAAGCAUCUCAUCAGCUAGCUAUAACUCCCAGCCGCAACGUAGAACUACACAAUAUUAUGUAUGUUUAUCAUAGACACAUUAUGCAGAUAUCUGCUUUCUAUUAUCAAAGUUCACAGAACACAAACAUAAUCCUGCCAAAUGCUUUCAGAACUUAAUCACAGUUUCUCCAAAUGUCAGACACCAAAGCUUUAUUUAGAUUAUAUUCAUCUCCAUAAUUUUAACUGAGGAAAAUCAGGGGUAGCCCUUGGGAUCAUAUUCUUUCCCGUUGUAUGUAUACAGAGAGCAUAUGGGAUCCAAAUCAUCCCAGUUUUCCCCUCAUAUCAUCUGAAUAGGCUGCUGGAGAGCAUGUGUGUGAAGUACCACAGUGCCAUCUACAAAUACAUGCAGGAAGGUUAAUAGGCGUUCAUUUCAAUGUUACAGGAUACUAACCAAAGCAACAUAAGGCUUCAUUUCCCAAGCUUGUAUGUUUGUGUUGUCUAUUAUUAUAGGAGUAAUCCUUUUUUCAAAUGCUUCUUUGGCUGAAAAAUAUAACAGUAGAUAAAAAUAGCUUAAUGCACAAUACUGUAAUGAGAUUGAUAUCUUUAUGUUAUGUUUGUAAGAAAAUUUGUUACAGAAGUUUAACCAAA